CUUAUCUUAGGAGGGAAGAGCAGGAAGCCUUGCUGAAGAAUGGGAAAGUCUGAGCCAAUCUAGCCGGCACAGCCAAGUUCCUGUUUCCAGGCGUGGUCGUUGACAGACGCCACUCGUAACUUACACUGCGGCUCCAGUAGAGAGGCCAAAGCAGGGGUUUCGCCAAAACCAGGCCUUUUAGCGAUCUCCGGAGCAAAAUGCUAUCCCGCAGAUGGUUUUCAUUAAGCAAGGCCCAUCCUAUUCUGUCUAGGAUGCUGAUGUCAUCUAGCAAUGGCUCCCAGGUUAUUCAGGACGUGGAAGAAGGACAUUUCCCCAUUCAUGUGAAUAAUG
This is a non-coding RNA of Notechis scutatus (mainland tiger snake), 330 nucleotides long. NCBI's taxonomy places the organism in Eukaryota, Metazoa, Chordata, Lepidosauria, Squamata, Elapidae. The record is from RefSeq and is a predicted model, not a curated record.